CAAAGAGUAGCUUAAAACAAAGCACUCAACUUACAAUUGAGAAACGUUAUUUACCUAACCUCUUUGC
This 67-nucleotide transfer RNA is filed under the name Hemicordylus capensis (graceful crag lizard). Its description in RNAcentral is "tRNA-Val". It matches the Rfam family "tRNA". Rfam says of the family: Transfer RNA (tRNA) molecules are approximately 80 nucleotides in length. Their secondary structure includes four short double-helical elements and three loops (D, anti-codon, and T loops). The record is from RNAcentral. Lineage: Eukaryota; Metazoa; Chordata; Lepidosauria; Squamata; Cordylidae.